GAGGAAUAUUGGUCAAUGGGCGAGAGCCUGAACCAGCCAAGUCGCGUGAAGGAUGACUGUCUUAUGGAUUGUAAACUUCUUUUAUACGGGAAUAACAAGAGUCACGUGUGACUCCCUGCAUGUACCGUAUGAAUAAGCAUCGGCUAACUCCGUGCCAGCAGCCGCGGUAAUACGGAGGAUGCGAGCGUUAUCCGGAUUUAUUGGGUUUAAAGGGUGCGUAGGCGGCCUGUUAAGUCAGCGGUGAAAUCUAGGAGCUUAACUCCUAAAUUGCCAUUGAUACUGGCGGGCUUGAGUGUAGAUGAGGUAGGCGGAAUGCGUGGUGUAGCGGUGGAAUGCAUAGAUAUCACGCAGAACUCCGAUUGCGAAGGCAGCUUACUAAGGUACAACUGACGCUGAAGCACGAAAGCGUGGGUAUCAAACAGGAUUAGAUACCCUGGUAGUCCACGCGGUAAACGAUGAUAACUGGGCGUAUGCGAUAUACAGUAUGCUCCUAAGCGAAAGCGUUAAGUUAUCCACCUGGGGAGUACGCCGGCAACGGUG
Molecule: ribosomal RNA, 540 nt
Filed under: uncultured bacterium
Lineage: Bacteria
Description: bacterial SSU rRNA
Rfam family: Bacterial small subunit ribosomal RNA
Source: RNAcentral